This 1044-nucleotide long non-coding RNA is filed under the name Homo sapiens (human). RNAcentral describes it as "HSALNT0189804". Lineage: Eukaryota; Metazoa; Chordata; Mammalia; Primates; Hominidae. The record is from RNAcentral.
GGAGGACCUCACAGAAGAAGAGGACCCUGAGUCCUGAAUUUAAUGAACGGUUUGAGUGGGAACUCCCCCUGGAUGAGGCCCAGAGACGAAAGCUGGAUGUCUCUGUCAAGUCUAAUUCCUCCUUCAUGUCAAGAGAGCGUGAGCUGCUGGGGAAGGUGCAGCUGGACCUAGCUGAGACAGACCUUUCCCAGGGUGUAGCCCGGUAUGACCUGAUGGACAACAAGGACAAGGGCAGCUCCUAGGAGCUGGCGAGUCCCAGCCUGACUGCUCUGUCUUCCUGCCUUCGUCUCGCUCCAUCACCGCCUCAAUGUGAUGAGCCUAAAGCUAGGGUCCAAGGGCAGAGCCUGUGCCCUUCAGCCCUUUCACCUAACAGGCCCAUAUUCGGGCCUUUGCCUGACCAAAGAGAAGAACCGUAUGUUCCCUUUACUGCACGGCCUUUAUCCUUCUGGGCCCCUGGGGCGGGGACCUGAGCUGGCUGUUUCCUGCUUUGCCUGCACAUUGUUCUCCCUUCCUCCCAACUCCUCAGGGCCUUCUGUAUCUGUGCCUGGCCAGUGGCAGCACUAGCAGUGGUAUUAGCUUAUGCCAAAUACAGCUUUGGAAGGAUCUUUUUUUCUUUAACUAGAUGGUCACCUUCUUCCCUACCACACAUGGGUGGGAAGGUGGACAGGCUAACCUCUCCAGCUGUGAGCCUCUUAGACUACUGCAUGUAGCAAAUGUUCAGCAGCUCAGGCCCCCAUGUCCAGUUCUGUCCCCACUGUCCUCAACCCUGUCCUGAAAAUUCUACUGCUUUGAUGGCUGGGGCCAGUCUCUUGUCACUUUGGAAACUGAGGACGCGUGGAUUCUACUCAAGCCUCCAAGUAGUGGCAUAUCAGUCUUGGAGCUCCUAGCUGGUGAUACGGAGAGGGCUUUGGAGGACUUGGGACAGCAGGGCCAAUUUUUUUGCCCAAGUGCCUAGGCUGCUAACUCACUGACUAGAACUUAAUCUGGUACUUUACAGUUUUGCACCAACUCUGCCAAGCCACUGGAUCUUACAUUAAACAUCAU